UACGGGAGGCAGCAGUGGGGAAUAUUGCACAAUGGGCGCAAGCCUGAUGCAGCAACGCCGCGUGAGGGAUGACGGCCUUCGGGUUGUAAACCUCUUUUAGUAGGGAAGAAGCGCAAGUGACGGUACCUGCAGAAAAAGCACCGGCUAACUACGUGCCAGCAGCCGCGGUAAUACGUAGGGUGCAAGCGUUGUCCGGAAUUAUUGGGCGUAAAGAGCUCGUAGGCGGCUUGUCGCGUCUGCUGUGAAAACUGGAGGCUCAACCUCCAGCCUGCAGUGGGUACGGGCAAGCUAGAGUGCGGUAGGGGAGAUUGGAAUUCCUGGUGUAGCGGUGGAAUGCGCAGAUAUCAGGAGGAACACCGAUGGCGAAGGCAGAUCUCUGGGGCCGUAACUGACGCUGAGGAGCGAAAGCAUGGGGAGCGAACAGGGAUUAGGAUACCCGGU
RNAcentral lists this ribosomal RNA (441 nucleotides) under uncultured bacterium. Its description in RNAcentral is "bacterial SSU rRNA". It matches the Rfam family "Bacterial small subunit ribosomal RNA", at positions 340 to 791 of the family's 1533-position model. The record is from RNAcentral.